This 465-nucleotide ribosomal RNA is filed under the name uncultured bacterium. RNAcentral's name for it is "partial 16S ribosomal RNA". It matches the Rfam family "Bacterial small subunit ribosomal RNA", at positions 338 to 795 of the family's 1533-position model. The record is from RNAcentral.
CCUACGGGGGGCUGCAGUAGGGAAUCUUCCACAAUGGACGAAAGUCUGAUGGAGCAACGCCGCGUGAGUGAAGAAGGGUUUCGGCUCGUAAAGCUCUGUUGGCAGUGAAGAACGAUAGCGGUAGUAACUGGCCUUUAUUUGACGGUAAUUACUUAGAAAGUCACGGCUAACUACGUGCCAGCAGCCGCGGUAAUACGUAGGUUGCAAGCGUUGUACGGAUUUACUGGGCGUAAAGCGAGUGCAGGCGGUUCAAUAAGUCUGAUGUGAAAGCCUUCGGCUCAACCGGGGAACUGCAUCAGAAACUGGUGAACUGGAGUGUAGAAGAGGAGAGUGGAAUUCCAGGUGUAGCAGUGGAAUGCGUAGAUAUAUGGAAGAACACCAGUGGCGAAGGCGGCUCUCUGGUCUGCAACUGACGCUGAGGCUCGAAAGCAUGGGUAGCAAACAGGAUUAGAUACCCUAGUAGUC